RNAcentral lists this ribosomal RNA (603 nucleotides) under uncultured cyanobacterium. Its description in RNAcentral is "bacterial SSU rRNA". It matches the Rfam family "Bacterial small subunit ribosomal RNA", at positions 157 to 795 of the family's 1533-position model. The record is from RNAcentral. Lineage: Bacteria; Bacillati; Cyanobacteriota.
UGACUGCUAAUACCGGAUAUGCCCUCGGGUGAAAGUUUUAAUGCCUGUAGAUGAGCUUGCGUCCGAUUAGCUAGAUGGAGUGGUAAAGGCACACCAUGGCAACGAUCGGUAACUGGUCUGAGAGGAUGACCAGUCACACUGGAACUGAGACACGGUCCAGACUCCUACGGGAGGCAGCAGUGGGGAAUUUUCCGCAAUGGGCGAAAGCCUGACGGAGCAAUACCGCGUGAGGGACGAAGGUCUGUGGAUUGUAAACCUCUUUUGUUAGGGAAGAUAAUGACGGUACCUAACGAAUAAGCAUCGGCUAACUCCGUGCCAGCAGCCGCGGUAAGACGGAGGAUGCAAGCGUUAUCCGGAAUUAUUGGGCGUAAAGCGUACGUAGGCUGUUAGAUAAGUCUGUUGUCAAAGCGCGAGGCUCAACCUUGUAAAGGCAAUGGAAACUGUUUGACUAGAGAGAGAUAGGGGCAGGAGGAAUUCCAGGUGUAGCGGUGAAAUGCGUAGAUAUCUGGAAGAACACCAGUGGCGAAAGCGUCCUGCUGGAUCUCAACUGACGCUGAAGUACGAAAGCUAGGGGAGCGAAUGGGAUUAGAUACCCCAGUAGUC